GAAGAACGCUGGCGGCGUGCUUAACACAUGCAAGUCGAACGAAGUGGCGAACGGGUGAGUAACGCUUAAUCAACCUGCCCUUCAGAGGGGGACAACAGUUGGAAACGACUGCUAAUACCGCAUACUGAAGGUGGGGUAUUCGUUUGAAUAGCUCGUUGGAGGGGUAAUGGCCCACCAAGGCGAUGAUCAGUAGCCGGUCGGAGAGGAUGAACGGCCACAUUGGGACUGAGACACGGCCCAGACUCCUACGGGAGGCAGCAGUGGGGAAUCUUCCGAAAUGGACGAAAGUCUGACGGAGCAACGCCGCGUGAGUGAUGACGGCCUUCGGGUUGUAAAGCUCUGUUAAUCGGGACGCGGUACCGGAAUAGCAAGCCACGGCUAACUACGUGCCAGCAGCCGCGGUAAUAC
This 408-nucleotide ribosomal RNA is filed under the name uncultured bacterium. RNAcentral's name for it is "partial 16S ribosomal RNA". It matches the Rfam family "Bacterial small subunit ribosomal RNA", at positions 28 to 526 of the family's 1533-position model. The record is from RNAcentral.